GUGCCUAACACAUGCAAGUCGAGCGAGGAGAUUCCUUCGGGAUGAUCCUAGCGGCGGACGGGUGAGUAACACGGUGGGCAACCUGCCUCAUAGAGAGGAAUAGCCUUCCGAAAGGGAGAUUAAUACCUCAUAACAUUGCAGUUUCGCAUGGAACAGCAAAUUAAAGGAGCAAUCCGCUAUGAGAUGGGCCCGCGGCGCAUUAGCUAGUUGGUGAGGUAACGGCUCACCAAGGCGACGAUGCGUAGCCGACCUGAGGAGGGUGAUCGGCCACAUUGGGACUGAGACACGGCCCAGACUCCGUACGGGAGGCAGCAGGUGGGAAUAUUGCACAAUGGGGAAACCCUGAUGCAGCCAACGCCGCGUGAGUGAUGACGGCCUUCGGGUUGUAAAGCUCUGUCUUCAGGGACGAUAAUGACGGUACCUGAGGAGGAAGCCACGGCUAACUACGUGCCAGCAGCAGC
Molecule: ribosomal RNA, 461 nt
Filed under: uncultured bacterium
Lineage: Bacteria
Description: bacterial SSU rRNA
Rfam family: Bacterial small subunit ribosomal RNA
Source: RNAcentral